Molecule: long non-coding RNA, 1225 nt
Filed under: Homo sapiens (human)
Lineage: Eukaryota; Metazoa; Chordata; Mammalia; Primates; Hominidae
Description: long intergenic non-protein coding RNA 929
Source: RNAcentral
AGUCCCGGAACACUCUCGGCCCUCUUCAGCCACUCCCUCCCCAACCCACACGCCAUCAACCUCCAGACCCUCUCGCCGUGGCUUAGAGGUGUCUCUGACAACGUGGCACACUGGGAAGGCCUUCUUUCCUGCUACCAAUACAAAUGCAUUCUGAAUUUGAUAUGUCAUUAAAUGUAAAAAUACAGCCAAUUUGAAACAAGCAAAUGGAAAUUCCCAGGAACCAAAAACAGAAAGAAAAAUCAGAGCUACCGCAGUGCUGUCCCUGCAGACAGAAUUUGGGAGAGGUACUCAGAGUCACCUCCUGUGAGCCUAUGCAAGCCAGCUCCUGCACAACCCUGGUUUUAGUCCAGCCUUCUGCAGAAUUCCACAUUAAACAGGAUGAAGAAUAGGUUGUUAGCAGACUGAGGUACUUGGGGCAACAUUUCGUACACAACAGGAGGGAGAAACGACUCCAGAAAAACAAUCAGAUUUUGGUGAAACUGAUGUUUGCAAGUGUGAGUGAGCCCCAUGUGCUGAAGCUUCAGGAACCCCUGAGAUGGCACAAGUUCUGCCGUACUGGGCAACGGAUGGUCUUGAAGCACACAAGACACUGGAAGACAUGAGGGCAAUUGCUACACGCCAAGCCCGGUGCCAAGCACGUUGUGCAGGUUGUUUCGUUGAUUCCGGGCCUGGCCUUUGAGAUCUGUGGAGGAUACCAUGAACUGGCUGGCUCUGCAUCCUGCUUGCAGGCGCUGGCAAGCUGGAACCUGCUUUUCUACGCCACACUGCAGAGGGCCCUGAAUGUGAUCUAUGAUUGCAACAAGCAGCCCUGAUGCGGAUCCGGAGGGCAGGGAUGACGUGGGGGCUGCCUUUCUGGUUGACCUGCUGGUAAGCAUGGCCUCAUGGAUCUAUCACCAACAGCACCCAGUCACUUGGGGAGGCCGAGUGGCAGGGCUGGGGCAUCCAUCAGGGUUUGAUUUUGCUUAUGUGGACCGGCAGGUGCAGCACAGCUGCAUUUUAGUGCAGGGCUUCCUGAUCCUGCUGCACAGCUAACACCGUUCUUCCCGAAGGCAGCAGCUCCCCCACGGGGCUGUUUCCCCAGUUCUGGGCAUCAGUCCCAGAGGCAAAGACGGGAGCCAUCCACUCUGACUCUGCCAACAAUUCUGUGAGCACCCAGUUCUCUGUAUGAAAUUCCUUUCUGCUUUAGAUAAUUAAAAUAACUUUUCUUCCCCUGCAACUGAACUGA